CAUAUUUGGGAGAAAGACUGUGGACUCACAUCAAUCACCAAUCCAGGUUGAUUCAGAAGAUUCAGAAAUAUUAAUAAACCAUCAAAUGGUUCAUAUGGUUUUGCACAGCUUUUCUACAGAAGUUUGUAUUCAAAAUAUUUUAAGUCUGUUCAAUUCACUUACAACAAGUGCAGCAGAAUUAGUUCACUAUAUUAAAUAAACAAGUUCCCUAAUUUUUCU
This 219-nucleotide long non-coding RNA is filed under the name Gallus gallus (chicken). Lineage: Eukaryota; Metazoa; Chordata; Aves; Galliformes; Phasianidae. The record is from RNAcentral.